GAGACACCCUUAUGGAGCAGGACUUGCUUCAGUGGGUGCUCACUGAGUCUGCCUCUUGAGUGUGUCCCU
This 69-nucleotide microRNA precursor is filed under the name Myotis davidii. RNAcentral describes it as "mir-9229 microRNA precursor family". It matches the Rfam family "mir-9229 microRNA precursor family". Lineage: Eukaryota; Metazoa; Chordata; Mammalia; Chiroptera; Vespertilionidae. The record is from Rfam by way of RNAcentral.